CAAAAACAUUGCCUUUAUGUAAUAAUAUAUUAGGUAAGUCCUGCCCAGUGACAAUGUUCAACGGCCGCGGUAUCCUAACCGUGCAAAGGUAGCAUAAUCAUUUGCCUAUUAAUUGUAGGCUAGAAUGAAUGGAUAAACGAAAUAAAAACUGUCUCAAUUAGUCAUCUAAAAACUAUUCUCUAUAUGAAGAAAUAUAGAUAAAUUCGAAGGACAAGAAGACCCUAUAGAGCUUUAUUUAAUGCACAAAAUUAUACUGUGUAACAAUUCGGUUGGGGCGACCUAGGGAUUUAAUACCACCCUAAAUUACAUAGAUAAAUUAAUCUAAAUAAUGACCCUAUAAUAGAUCAUAAAAUCAAGCUACCUUAGGGAUAACAGGCUAAUCCUAUUCAAGAGUUCAUAUCCACAAUAGGGUUUGGCACCUCGAUGUUGGCUUAGGGUAUCAAUAUAGCGCAAAAGUUAUAAAUUGAUGGUUUGUUCAACCAAUGAUUCCCUACGUGAUCUGAGUUC
Molecule: ribosomal RNA, 507 nt
Filed under: Megascolex cochinensis
Lineage: Eukaryota; Metazoa; Annelida; Clitellata; Crassiclitellata; Megascolecidae
Description: partial 16S ribosomal RNA
Rfam family: Bacterial large subunit ribosomal RNA
Source: RNAcentral